CAUGCAAGUCGAGGGGAAACGGCAUUUAGUGCUUGCACCGAAUGGACGUCGACCGGCGCACGGGUGAGUAACGCGUAUCCAACUUUCCCAUAACUAAGGGAUAACCUGCCGAAAGGCAGACUAAUACCUUAUGUAAUCCUUUGAUGGCAUCAGAUUAGGAUUAAAGAUUUAUCGGUUAUGGAUGGGGAUGCGUCUGAUUAGCUUGUUGGCGGGGUAACGGCCCACCAAGGCAACGAUCAGUAGGGGUUCUGAGAGGAAGGCCCCCCACAUUGGAACUGAGACACGGUCCAAACUCCUACGGGAGGCAGCAGUGAGGAAUAUUGGUCAAUGGACGGAAGUCUGAACCAGCCAAGUAGCGUGCAGGAAGACGGCCCUAUGGGUUGUAAACUGCUUUUGUAUGGGGAUAAAGUCAAUCACGUGUGAUUGUUUGCAGGUACCAUACGAAUAAGGACCGGCUAAUUCCGUGCCAGCAGCCGCGGUAAUACGGAAGGUUCGGGCGUUAUCCGGAUUUAUUGGGUUUAAAGGGAGCGUAGGCCGGAGAUUAAGUGUGUUGUGAAAUGUAGACGCUCAACGUCUGACUUGCAGCGCAUACUGGUUUCCUUGAGUACGCACAACGUUGGCGGAAUUCGUCGUGUAGCGGUGAAAUGCUUAGAUAUGACGAAGAACUCCGAUUGCGAAGGCAGCUGACGGGAGCGCAACUGACGCUGAAGCUCGAAGGUG
This 720-nucleotide ribosomal RNA is filed under the name uncultured Bacteroidota bacterium. RNAcentral describes it as "bacterial SSU rRNA". It matches the Rfam family "Bacterial small subunit ribosomal RNA", at positions 54 to 761 of the family's 1533-position model. Lineage: Bacteria; Pseudomonadati; Bacteroidota. The record is from RNAcentral.